This is a long non-coding RNA of Physeter macrocephalus (sperm whale), 2215 nucleotides long. RefSeq lists it as uncharacterized. NCBI's taxonomy places the organism in Eukaryota, Metazoa, Chordata, Mammalia, Artiodactyla, Physeteridae. The transcript is spliced from 3 exons. The record is from RefSeq and is a predicted model, not a curated record.
UGCUUUAAUAAUCAGCCUAGUGCGCGAACAACCUUGUUUUUCUCGGUGCUGAGUGUUGAAAAGGAAGCCUGUCGCGGCCUCGCCAAAGACAUUUUCGUCUGGUUGGGAACCGGAACCUGCAUUUUCGGGGCUUCCCCUGAGUUUUGCGCUUUAUUUUCUCACAGAAACUUGAGCGAGGCAAUUUUUGGGAAAGAAGCCUUUUUCUGAGCGGUCUGAGGUGGGGAAUCGGAGCGAUUCCCAGCCUCAGAGAAAGGGGAGCCGAUUUUACAGAUUCGGGCUCGUUUCUGGCGCGAGGCAGCGAAGGCUCAGAGCAAGGGGAACGCAGCGGCAGCGAUGGAACGACAGGACGGUGUUGGGCACGCCCUGGUGGGUGAGUCGGAGCGCGGCCACCACCGGGGCCGAGGACGCGGGAGCUGAGCGCCCCGGUAGAUGCUCUGGGGCUUUCACAGUGUCUGUCAACGAUACAGCGUUGAAGUGAGGGAGAAAGUAUUGAAUAUCUGAAAGGAACUCACCUUGACUAUAUGGUUAGAAAGAAGAGUUGGUGAGUACAAGCAAGCAUUUGAGGACAUUUAGCAGGUCAGACCUUUUCAUUUUUCUUUAGUAAGAAUUUUAUACACUAAGUGGAAUUUGCCCAGAUUUCAUUUACAUCAUGAAGGCUUACUUUGUAAGACUGUCAGGGCCAUGCAAAUGGAGGUCAACUUCAUUUCCUUACUUAAAAUUUUUAUAUUUUGUUCCUCGUGCAUAUUUUGGUAUUAAUUUACAUUUUAAAAUAUUGCAUUAAAACAUCUUUUAUCUUGAUGACUUAGAUUUGGUGCCUUCUUACCAUUCGUGCUGAAGACAAGUACUAGCUUAACGCUGCCCUAGUGCUAACCCAGGAUAUAGCUUUUGAAUUAGGGUAUUCUGCUGUUCCAUGGCUGAACAUGUAGGAAUGCUUUAAUUCUCAUCACUCUCUCCCCCAUAUAUAUAUUUCUAACCAUUGUCCUGGUCUCUACAACAUUAUUUUAAUGUCUUUUUUUUUUAAGGAAAAAAAAACCCUCUUGACUGCCUUCAUCUGAUUUUCUCAACUCACACCCCCUUGGCUAUGCGUAAUAAACAAAAGAAGCAUUGAAGUUACGACAUUAUCUGUUGCUGAUAAAUUGAAGAGAAAUUGGAAAAACUUGGAAACCACAUCGGCGUAAGUACAGAAUUGACAACCUUGUACUAUUUAAGAAUCACUUUUGUAGGCAGGUACUCAGAGCAGCUGGAUCCAGGCUCCCACAGCCAGACACCUGAAUCACCAGGCUCACCGGGGCCUGCCCCCUCCUCACUGGUGUCACCCAGGAUGAUGUUCUCCAGCCCUAUCUGCACCCUUAGCUGUGACAUGGCCCAGAACCACAGUCUGCCAAAGCAGGAGACCCUCACAGUCCUGCCCCUAACAGGGAGAAUCUUCUUUGUUUUCCUGCCUGAAGGACAAGAAGGUUUUCAGGUUCCAUCAGCACCAGCUGGCUGACAGCCAGUUCCAAAACGCUCAGGCUGCCUCAUUCUCCGUGAAACAAUACAGCACUUCUCCAUCAUCUUCAGCACAAACAGCUGAAAUUCCUCACUGGGCUAGAUCAACAGUGGGAAGAUCUGGAGACUAGUUUGGUGCAGGAGAUGAGGAGGAAAAGACCCUCCUGGUCAAUGAGGACUCCAGCCUGACUUUGAAGAACUCCUUGCAAAGGACCAGGCUCGAUCUGAAAAGAAAGUCCACAGCUGCUGUGCCCAGGACAAUAUGAGAGUGGAAGUUAAGGCAUGAAAAUCAGAGUGUGCUUUCCCUGUAUGUUCAACCUCAGAGAACCCAGGAGUGGGAAAAGGAGACCUGGACCCAAUCUUCUACAAUGGAGUCUUCUCUGCUUAGAGGUGGCCUUGAGCGCAUCAAUAUUCACUCAGUUCAAUGGCUUUUCUUCUGAUUCAGUUGUAAAUGCAUCGAGUCAUCUCAGCACAUUGUUUUUCAACAGUAAGUGGAAACAAUACUUUUGAAUGCAGAGAAAAUUUAUUUUUAAUUUGUAAUAAUUAGAAUUUAUUUCUCUAUGAUGAUUGUUAUAUUUACCAAAUUUAUUCUUCAUAUUAUGAUAUGAUCAGCUUGGUGUCUUGUUUUCCUUUGCUUUGGGGGUGCAAAAAGUAUAUUUUAAGUGUUAGUUUUCACUCAUACUCUUAAAGAAAAUCAGUGUCCUUAAACCUUUAAUCUGCCUUAAAA